RNAcentral lists this ribosomal RNA (500 nucleotides) under uncultured bacterium. RNAcentral describes it as "partial 16S ribosomal RNA". It matches the Rfam family "Bacterial small subunit ribosomal RNA", at positions 30 to 523 of the family's 1533-position model. The record is from RNAcentral.
AUUGAACGCUGGCGGAAUGCUUUACACAUGCAAGUCGAACGGCAGCACGGGGGCAACCCUGGUGGCGAGUGGCGAACGGGUGAGUAAUACAUCGGAACGUGCCCAGUUGUGGGGGAUAACGUAGCGAAAGCUACGCUAAUACCGCAUACGAACUGAGGUUGAAAGCGGGGGAUCGCAAGACCUCGCGCAAUUGGAGCGGCCGAUGGCAGAUUAGGUAGUUGGUGGGGUAAAGGCUCACCAAGCCGACGAUCUGUAGCUGGUCUGAGAGGACGACCAGCCACACUGGGACUGAGACACGGCCCAGACUCCUACGGGAGGCAGCAGUGGGGAAUUUUGGACAAUGGGCGCAAGCCUGAUCCAGCCAUUCCGCGUGCAGGAUGAAGGCCCUCGGGUUGUAAACUGCUUUUGUACGGAACGAAAAGGCUUUCUCUAAUACAGAGGGCUCAUGACGGUACCGUAAGAAUAAGCACCGGCUAACUACGUGCCAGCCGCCGCGGUAA